Non-coding RNA from Podarcis lilfordi (Lilford's wall lizard), 78 nucleotides. Lineage: Eukaryota; Metazoa; Chordata; Lepidosauria; Squamata; Lacertidae. The record is from the annotation of a GenBank genome assembly.
ACUAGCCUAGCUCAGAUGGUAGAGAAUGAGACUCAUAAUCUCAGGGUUGUGGGUUUGAGCCCCACGUCGCAUAAAGGG